UUUAUGGAGAGUUUGAUCCUGGCUCAGGAUGAACGCUGGCGGCGUGCCUAAUACAUGCAAGUCGAGCGAACGGACGAGAAGCUUGCUUCUCUGAUGUUAGCGGCGGACGGGUGAGUAACACGUGGAUAACCUACCUAUAAGACUGGGAUAACUUCGGGAAACCGGAGCUAAUACCGGAUAAUA
This 183-nucleotide ribosomal RNA is filed under the name Staphylococcus aureus. Its description in RNAcentral is "partial 16S ribosomal RNA". It matches the Rfam family "Bacterial small subunit ribosomal RNA", at positions 1 to 178 of the family's 1533-position model. The record is from RNAcentral. Lineage: Bacteria; Bacillati; Bacillota; Bacilli; Caryophanales; Staphylococcaceae.